GAGGAGAAACACAAAGCUAUGGAGGCAGAGAGAAUCCAAUACGAAGCACGAAUUAAGGAAGAGCAAGAAGCAGCAAUCAAGCAGCUUAGGAAGGGAUUAGUGAUUAAAGCAAAUCCAGUGCCCAGUUUCUAUUAUGAAGGACCACCACCAAAGGUUGAACUCAAAAAGUUACCAUUAACUCGGCCAAAGUCUCCGAAUCUAACUCGAAGGAAAAGCUGCGGUGAUUCGAUGAACUUAAGCGUAGAGGAAAAGCUGCG
Molecule: unclassified non-coding RNA, 257 nt
Filed under: Hevea brasiliensis (rubber tree)
Lineage: Eukaryota; Viridiplantae; Streptophyta; Magnoliopsida; Malpighiales; Euphorbiaceae
Source: RNAcentral